AUUGAACGCUGGCGGCAUGCCUUACACAUGCAAGUCGAACGGUAACAGGUCUUCGGAUGCUGACGAGUGGCGAACGGGUGAGUAAUACAUCGGAACGUGCCCGAUCGUGGGGGAUAACGAGGCGAAAGCUUUGCUAAUACCGCAUACGAUCUACGGAUGAACGCGGGGGAUCUUCGGACCUCGCGCGGACGGAUCGGCCGAUGGCAGAUUAGGUAGUUGGUGGGAUAAAAGCUUACCAAGCCGACGAUCUGUAGCUGGUCUGAGAGGAUGAUCAGCCACACUGGGACUGAGACACGGCCCAGACUCCUACGGGAGGCAGCAGUGGGGAAUUUUGGACAAUGGGCGAAAGCCUGAUCCAACCAUGCCGCGUGCAGGAUGAAGGCCUUUGGGUUGUAAACUGCUUUUGUACGGAACGAAAAGCCUCUUUCUAAUAAAGAGGGGUCAUGACGGUACCGUAAGAAUAAGCACCGGCUAACUACGUG
Molecule: ribosomal RNA, 482 nt
Filed under: uncultured bacterium
Lineage: Bacteria
Description: partial 16S ribosomal RNA
Rfam family: Bacterial small subunit ribosomal RNA
Source: RNAcentral